RNAcentral lists this ribosomal RNA (422 nucleotides) under uncultured bacterium. RNAcentral describes it as "bacterial SSU rRNA". It matches the Rfam family "Bacterial small subunit ribosomal RNA", at positions 355 to 774 of the family's 1533-position model. The record is from RNAcentral.
UGAGGAAUAUUGGUCAAUGGGGGCAACCCUGAACCAGCCAAGUCGCGUGAAGGAUGAAGGUCUUAUGGAUUGUAAACUUCUUUUACACGGGAAUAAAGUGGGGGACGUGUCCCCCUUUGCAUGUACCGUGUGAAUAAGGAUCGGCUAACUCCGUGCCAGCAGCCGCGGUAAUACGAAGGAUCCGAGCGUUAUCCGGAUUUAUUGGGUUUAAAGGGUGCGCAGGCGGGAUGUUAAGUCGGCGGUGAAAUUUUGCAGCUCAACUGUAAAAGUGCCUUCGAUACUGGCCUCCUUGAGUGUGGAUGAAGUAGGCGGAAUUUGUGGUGUAGCGGUGAAAUGCUUAGAUAUCACGAGGAACUCCGAUUGCGCAGGCAGCUUACUAAGCCACAACUGACGCUCAUGCACGAAGGCGUGGGGAUCAAACA